CUUCGGCCCGCAAAUCCACGCCUCCUGGUGCAGCAAAGCACGCUCUCACAAAGGACCCACAAAGAGUCCUGGGGUCGGCUCUAAAGGAAUAAUUACGCUAUUUCAAGAGUCAUCCUCAAAGCCGUUUUAUUGCUAACCCAAUCCCACAGGAGGACAAAGCUGAUCUUCCGUCCACGGCGGGAUGACUGCAGCUUGCCUGCACGGUGGGAUCUUCUCCUGGGCCGGAUUCGGAGUGCUUUGUCUCCCGGAGCGGGAAACAACGAGUCCCAGUUGAAGGAAGAGCACAGCGCAGACCCCGGCAGAAAUGAGAAAAUGGAACCGAGGGAGCUUGUGAAAGAGGAGAUCCUUGAGACAAAGCGCAGUGCCAGCCAGAAGCUCAGCCUCGGAUACCUGGCCGUCAGACAGAACAUGGGCAUGAAGACGAGAGCAGAGACAGACCCUACAUUGCACCAAGGCCACGUCAGCUAUGCAGGAGACAGUGGACCUGCAAAUGCAACAAGAAACAGGAAGCUCUUCUUUAACGUCCGUUGUUGCCUUCGUCCUCCCAGCGGCUUCUCCUGCAAGAAGAUGUGGAUGAAGAUCAAGUGAGCACCAGGCUGCCGCCAUAUGUGCAGGAACACCUGCAGAAUAAAAAGUCCUGUUCACCAGAGAUGUACCGCUCCUCUUUGCACCCCUGGAAGCAGGCUGGAGGGGAUUGGGCUCUGGGUGUUGCACCCCACCUGAGGGAGAAUGUACGCACUUUCAGAGGGCAGCCCCCAGCCAAGCAGCACCACCCUGGGAAGCCUCAGCUUCAGCCAAGAGCUGGGGGACAAACAGGGGCUCAAGUGCUGAGCAGAGCCCAGGGAACAGAGAACUGGCUUGGGAGCACUGGGGGGUUCCACCACCUGCCAGGAAGCACCCACACUGCGCUUACCAGAACAGAGAGCUUCACGCUGUUGGGCAGCUUCUGGCAUUUCUUGCUCACAACCUCCAGCAGAAGCCAGCUGCAUCACUGCACCUUCCCUGCCGGUGGAGGAGGGCAGGCAAGGUGCAGCUGCCCCCAGGAUGCCGUGUCCCCAGGCACCCCCUACCCCCACGGGAGCAGGGAGGUGCCCCACAGCAGGAAGCAGCACCAGGACCCCAAGUCCUGUUAGGAAGGAAGUGCUGCUGCACCAACAGCCCUGCACCACUGCUCCCCAUACCUCUC
RNAcentral lists this long non-coding RNA (1186 nucleotides) under Gallus gallus (chicken). RNAcentral describes it as "lncRNA (ENSGALG00010025961.1)". The record is from RNAcentral. Lineage: Eukaryota; Metazoa; Chordata; Aves; Galliformes; Phasianidae.